RNAcentral lists this ribosomal RNA (959 nucleotides) under uncultured bacterium. RNAcentral describes it as "bacterial SSU rRNA". It matches the Rfam family "Bacterial small subunit ribosomal RNA", at positions 521 to 1482 of the family's 1533-position model. The record is from RNAcentral.
UAAUACGUAGGGGGCGAGCGUUGUCCGGAUUUACUGGGCGUAAAGGGUGAGUAGGCGGUUGUAUAUGUCAGGUGUAAAAGGCACAGGCUUAACUUGUGUUAGCACUUGAAACUGUACGACUUGAGUGCAGGAGAGGUAAGCGGAAUUCCUAGUGUAGCGGUGAAAUGCGUAGAUAUUAGGAGGAACACCAGUGGCGAAGGCGGCUUACUGGACUGUAACUGACGCUGAGUCACGAAAGCGUGGGUAGCAAACAGGAUUAGAUACCCUGGUAGUCCACGCUGUAAACGAUGAGUGCUAGGUGUUGGGUAGCGAUACUCAGUGCCGCAGCAAACGCAAUAAGCACUCCGCCUGGGGAGUACGGUCGCAAGACUGAAACUCAAAGGAAUUGAUGGGGACCCGCACAAGCAGCGGAGCAUGUGGUUUAAUUCGAAGCAACGCGAAGAACCUUACCAAGGCUUGACAUCCCCUUGACAAGUGCAGAGAUGUACUCUCUUCUUCGGAAGCAAGGGAGACAGGUGGUGCAUGGUUGUCGUCAGCUCGUGUCGUGAGAUGUUGGGUUAAGUCCCGCAACGAGCGCAACCCUUAUCCUUAGUUGCCAGCAUGAAAGAUGGGCACUCUAAGGAGACUGCCGGUGAUAAACCGGAGGAAGGUGGGGAUGACGUCAAAUCAUCAUGCCCCUUAUGUCUUGGGCUACACACGUGCUACAAUGGUCGGUACAACGGGGAGCGAAGGAGCGAUCCGGAGCAAAUCCCAAUAAACCGAUCCCAGUUCGGAUUGUAGGCUGCAACUCGCCUACAUGAAGUCGGAGUUGCUAGUAAUCGCGAAUCAGAACGUCGCGGUGAAUGCGUUCCCGGGUCUUGUACACACCGCCCGUCACACCAUGGAAGUUGGUAAUACCCGAAGUCGCUGAGCUAACCGCAAGGAGGCAGGCGCCGAAGGUAGGAUCAAUGACUGGGGUG